Molecule: ribosomal RNA, 771 nt
Filed under: Triticum aestivum (bread wheat)
Lineage: Eukaryota; Viridiplantae; Streptophyta; Magnoliopsida; Poales; Poaceae
Description: partial small subunit ribosomal RNA
Source: RNAcentral
AUGUCCAGCAUGUGGAUUAUAAGCACCAACCCAAAAUACAUGGACAUUAGUGGAGAACGGCUCCGUGAGAUGCUACGCGAUGGUGGUGAGGUGGAUAGCGUGCUGAUGACAUUGGUGAUGAGAAGGUACCAACAGAUUGAUGUGGUAUUCGCUGCUGCAAAAGGAGAGGGAUGUUGGAGACAUUGGCUGGAGCCAGAUUUUGUGAACCAUGUUAGUAGAGGAGACAACAUUUCAAAGCUGAGGUACAUCAAGGACAUGUUCGUGGGGCCGCAUAUCACUUACGAGGUUCACAAAUGCACCGAGUUUGUGUUGCCAGUUAAAUUUGACUUUAAAUGGUCUACGUACAUAUGGGACUUUCCAAGGUCGAAGAUUUUUGUCCUCGACCCAACAAUGAACAAUGGGGAUGAGUCUGAUAAGGAAAUUCAGCUCAGGCACAGGAAGGUGGCAGACGAACUUCACAAGGCUAUAGAGAUGUGCAUAAAGUCAUUCUUCUCUGGAUGGGAUCCAAACAUGAGGUCGUGGAAUACAUGCUUCCCAAGGGGCCUGGCAACAGGGAUAUGCAAGAAGGAAGACACAGGGAUAUAUGCUACUCACUUUGGAAGGAAUUGGAUGGGAAGUAAACUGAAAAGGGAUAUGAACCCGGGUGAUGGUGUCAUGCAUGCUAGGAUGAACAUGCUUGUUGAUUUGCUUGGUUCAGAAGGUAAUAUUGGUCAUCUUCCUGCGAGGUACAAGGAUUGCCUUAUUCGCAAGAAGGACAAGAACAAGGAUUGA